UAUCCUUUAACUUUACUUUCCGCUAUAUAGAUGAUGUUCUCUAACUAAAUAUUCCAAAAUUUGGUGACUAUGUUUAACGCAUCUAUCCCAUCGAACUAGUGACAAAGGAUACUACAGAUACAGUUAACAUUGGCUAAGUUGGCCUCAUAUCUUGACAUACAUCUCGAAAUUGACAGUGAGGGUCGGUCGAAAACAAAACUUUACGACAAAAGAGAUGAUUUCCCAUUGACUGUGAAUUUUCCAUUUCAAAGUAGCACCAUUCCAGCAGCACCUACAUACGGGGUGUUCAUCACCCAAUUGAUACGAUAUUUCCGUUAUUGUAUUACUAUCAUGAUUUGCUUGAUAGAGGGUUGUUGCAUUUUGCUCACAAGGAAGCUAUUUAACAUAGAGUUCCAAAGGGUGAAGUUAAAAUCAUCCCUUCAUAAAUGUUACGGACGCCAUCACGAUUUGGUUGACUGUUAUGGAAUGACCGUUUCACAGAUAAUAUCGGAUAUGUUCCUUACGCCGUAACUACAAUCCCC
Molecule: long non-coding RNA, 521 nt
Filed under: Mytilus galloprovincialis (Mediterranean mussel)
Lineage: Eukaryota; Metazoa; Mollusca; Bivalvia; Mytilida; Mytilidae
Source: RNAcentral